Spinacia oleracea (spinach) is the source of this 2128-nucleotide long non-coding RNA. RefSeq lists it as uncharacterized. The transcript is spliced from 3 exons. The record is from RefSeq and is a predicted model, not a curated record. Lineage: Eukaryota; Viridiplantae; Streptophyta; Magnoliopsida; Caryophyllales; Amaranthaceae.
UCUAUUGUAAUACCCCAAUAUUUUAUAAUUUUGUAAAAUAUAUUUUAUAGUCAAACUAUAAUUAUAUCCGUUUUUAGCUAGUCUCUUUUAAUAUUUUCAGAAGUUUAAAAACGCUAUUUUAAAAUUAGUAGGACUCUUAUUACGAGUACCUAUAUAUAACCCAUUAACCCUAAAUAUCUGGCCGUCCUAUUCUAUCUUUGCUUCUUCCGCCUUCUCGUUUCUAUGGUUCUACGUGUAGACUUUUAGAUCAAAUCAAGUUUUGAUCUUUUCUCCAAUAUCACUGUACAUAUGAUAUUCAUGUAAGACCCACUAAUCUUCUUUAUCAAAUCCAUUUUGUUUUCGAUUGUUAAUCUCCAUAAGCCUUUUAUAAAAAUAUUCCAUCAUGUUCCAUGGGAUGAUCUCAUCAUCUCAAAUUUGUUAAUGCUUUUGUCAAACCCAUAUACUUCAUUACUUCUUGUCAACAUUGCGUAUCCACCACCGCCGUUCGUAUCUAAUCAGCUCUUCCAACUAUCGUGUGUCGUGGGUGGCGAUGUAUUGUGAAAUUGUGAUAUUGGUACUAUCAUCUCGGAAGUCAAGAUUGACUGGAGCAGAUUGAUCAUGAAGGAUGCAGUUAUAAGUUAAAGGAGUUCCAGUAUUAUCGUUUAUUCUUGUAUGACAGUUUAGUGUUUUUCAGUUGUAAAUAGACCACCUAGUAACCGAGUUGUAAUAGUUUAAGUUUUGUAAGCCUUAGCACUUGACAAUGUGGUCAAGUGUGGCGGUGAUACCUCCGAUUUAGGUGUAAGCUUCCGCAAUUUAUUAUAAAGUCUUUUAUAUUCUUAUUUAUUAAUAGUUAGUAAAUCGGGGGUGUUACAAAAUGGUAUCAGAGCCUAUCCGGUCUUGAAUUUACACAGGGAUCUUCAUAUCCCAGUGUCUGGUUUGAGUUUUAGGAUUGAAAUGACUAAUCAAGAGUUAAGCUUAAAAGAUGUAGGACAAGCCGUUUUAAGAGAGUCUAUCUUUCUAUGUGUUAGUUAUGUGCUACUUGUGAUGUGAUUAUGUGACUAGUUUAGAGUUCGGGGACGAACUCCUUUUUAAGGGGGAUAGAAUGUAAUAUCCCGAAUAUUUUAUGUAGUAAAGUUUAGUAUAUAUUUUCGUUUUGUUUUAAAAAAAAAAAAUCUUUAAUUAGCGUUUGAAAUUAAAGUCACAAAGUUUUUCUAACUUAAGUUCCGGGAAAAACUUCUUUUAAAGAGGGUAUAUUUAAUAAUCUAUAUCUUUCUAAUUUUAAGUUUCGGGACGAAACUUCUUUUAAGGGGGAUAGAUUGUAAUACCCCAAUAUUUUAUAAUUUUGUAAAAUAUAUUUUAUAGUCAAACUAUAAUUAUAUCCGUUUUUAGCUAGUCUCUUUUAAUAUUUUCAGAAGUUUAAAAACGCUAUUUUAAAAUUAGUAGGACUCUUAUUACGAGUACCUAUAUAUAACCCAUUAACCCUAAAUAUCUGGCCGUCCUAUUCUAUCUUUGCUUCUUCCGCCUUCUCGUUUCUAUGGUUCUACGUGUAGACUUUUAGAUCAAAUCAAGUUUUGAUCUUUUCUCCAAUAUCACUGUACAUAUGAUAUUCAUGUAAGACCCACUAAUCUUCUUUAUCAAAUCCAUUUUGUUUUCGAUUGUUAAUCUCCAUAAGCCUUUUAUAAAAAUAUUCCAUCAUGUUCCAUGGGAUGAUCUCAUCAUCUCAAAUUUGUUAAUGCUUUUGUCAAACCCAUAUACUUCAUUACUUCUUGUCAACAUUGCGUAUCCACCACCGCCGUUCGUAUCUAAUCAGCUCUUCCAACUAUCGUGUGUCGUGGGUGGCGAUGUAUUGUGAAAUUGUGAUAUUGGUACUAUCAUCUCGGAAGUCAAGAUUGACUGGAGCAGAUUGAUCAUGAAGGAUGCAGUUAUAAGUUAAAGGAGUUCCAGUAUUAUCGUUUAUUCUUGUAUGACAGUUUAGUGUUUUUCAGUUGUAAAUAGACCACCUAGUAACCGAGUUGUAAUAGUUUAAGUUUUGUAAGCCUUAGCACUUGACAAUGUGGUCAAGUGUGGCGGUGAUACCUCCGAUUUAGGUGUAAGCUUCCGCAAUUUAUUAUAAAGUCUUUUAUAUUCUUAUUUAUUAAUAGUUAGUAAA